Molecule: ribosomal RNA, 349 nt
Filed under: uncultured Desulfovibrio sp.
Lineage: Bacteria; Pseudomonadati; Thermodesulfobacteriota; Desulfovibrionia; Desulfovibrionales; Desulfovibrionaceae
Description: bacterial SSU rRNA
Rfam family: Bacterial small subunit ribosomal RNA
Source: RNAcentral
UGACAGGUGCUGCAUGGCUGUCGUCAGCUCGUGUCGUGAGAUGUUGGGUUAAGUCCCGCAACGAGCCGCAACCCUCGCCUUUAGUUGCCAGCAUUCAGUUGGGUACUCUAGAGGGACUGCCGGUGUCAAACCGGGAGGAAGUGGGAUGACGUCAAGUCCUCAUGGCCUUUAUGUCUAGGGCUACACACGUACUACAAUGGCCGGUACAAAGGGCAGCCACUCAGCGAUGAGGCGCUAAUCCCAUAAAGCCGGUCUCAGUCCGGAUCGCAGUCUGCAACUCGACUGCGUGAAGUUGGAAUCGCUAGUAAUCGUAGAUCAGCAUGCUACGGUGAAUACGUUCCCGGGCCUU